Molecule: non-coding RNA, 73 nt
Organism: Podarcis lilfordi (Lilford's wall lizard)
Lineage: Eukaryota; Metazoa; Chordata; Lepidosauria; Squamata; Lacertidae
Source: the annotation of a GenBank genome assembly
GUGAUGAUAGCACAGUCAGUAGAGCAUGAGACUCUUCAUCUCAGGGCUGUGGGUUUGAGAGCCACGUUGCACA